GAUUUGAUAUAAACCUUGUUUUGAAAACUUGUAUAAGAAAUUAUUUCUUCAAAUCU
This 56-nucleotide transfer RNA is filed under the name Phyllodiaptomus tunguidus. RNAcentral's name for it is "tRNA-Ser". The record is from RNAcentral. Lineage: Eukaryota; Metazoa; Arthropoda; Copepoda; Calanoida; Diaptomidae.